UACGUAGGGUCCGAGCGUUGUCCGGAAUUACUGGGCGUAAAGAGCUCGUAGGUGGUUUGUCGCGUUGUUCGUGAAAACCGGGGGCUUAACCCUCGGCGUGCGGGCGAUACGGGCAGACUUGAGUACUGCAGGGGAGACUGGAAUUCCUGGUGUAGCGGUGGAAUGCGCAGAUAUCAGGAGGAACACCGGUGGCGAAGGCGGCUCUCUGGACCGAGACUGACGCUGAGGCGCGAAAGCGUGGGGAGCAAACAGG
This 253-nucleotide ribosomal RNA is filed under the name uncultured bacterium. RNAcentral's name for it is "partial 16S ribosomal RNA". It matches the Rfam family "Bacterial small subunit ribosomal RNA", at positions 524 to 776 of the family's 1533-position model. The record is from RNAcentral.